This 216-nucleotide unclassified non-coding RNA is filed under the name Hevea brasiliensis (rubber tree). Lineage: Eukaryota; Viridiplantae; Streptophyta; Magnoliopsida; Malpighiales; Euphorbiaceae. The record is from RNAcentral.
GCCAGAAAGAAAAAACUCCCCCAGCAAGUUUUUAUCCUCCACCAACGUCCUCUCACCCUCAUAAACACCAAAUAUCAAAAGCCGUAGUGAAUUCAUCUUCAAUACUGUUGGGGAUAGUCGUGUUUCUUGGAAUCAGCACAUGUACUGUCCCCGAACAAUCUGUAACUCCAAGGGACAGAGGACAGAGGAGUAACAUCUACCACCACAAAGUCCCCU